Molecule: unclassified non-coding RNA, 3317 nt
Filed under: Leishmania donovani
Lineage: Eukaryota; Euglenozoa; Kinetoplastea; Trypanosomatida; Trypanosomatidae
Description: gene:LdHU3.27.3120(CDS-product:MSP_(Major_sperm_p rotein)_domain_containing_protein_putative)
Source: RNAcentral
CGCAGGGUGCGUCUCUCUUUUUCUCCACCCCCUCCACUACCCCGGGGCAGUCCUGUCUGUGGCGCUCUGCGUGUGCGCGUGUCUGUUCCUCCGUGCGUCUCUCUCCCCGCGCUCUCUCUAUCCACAUUCUCUUCGCCCCAUCGCACACGCUCGCUCACACACCGAUACCCACGCGCGCGGCAGAAGAGGCACACCGCCAUGCCCAGCGACACCCUUCAGAUCAAGCUGUCACAAGACAGCCUCUUCUUUCCAUUGCCCUUCACAAACGCCACCAUCGAUAAUGUCGUGCAGGUGAAGAACAUGCUGCCGGUCGUGCAAGGCGACCCGAAAGCGAACGUCAUCUCGUUCAAGAUCCUGAGCCGGGUGCAGAACAGGUACUCUGUUCACCCCCCUGUCGGCUUCAUUGGCGCUGGUGAGCACGCCACGAUCAUCUUCUCCUUCAAUCCCGAGCAUGUCAAGAUGGCCAAGAACCCGGAGGAGCGCGAGCUGCCGACAGAGGCUACAAAGGACGCUAUUCACGUCGACUUCGCUGUCGUUGACGCGCAGUCGGUGCAGACGGCGCUGGCGCAUUGGGUUCCUGGCAGCAAGGAGACGAAGGCGUCGCGGGAGGUCGUAGCCGACGCUUCGCGGUUUUGGAAGCAACGCGGGCAGGUGAAGAAAAACUCGCCGACCACGAUGCGCUACAAGCUCAGGUGCGUCUUCGCGACGCGCAACAACGUGCCCGACAGCCUUGUGAUGUGUAUGAAGGAAGAAGGCGGCUGCUGCAAGCCGAUUGCGGAUGGCGCCGCGCCGCUGCCGAGGACUCGGCCUCCCGUGACAUCGUCGACGCAGCCGCAGAACACAGCCCCUCCGGAGGCGCCGCCGCACCGCUACUCCGAGAGUCAACGCACCACGCCGACUACGCGGUCCCCGCGCAGCGAUGCCUGUUACACUCCGUGUGCAACAGGUCCCCCGCGCAUCUUUACAACGGGGCCGGGUGCGGCCGCGGCCGCGUCGGCGCCGUCCGCCUCUCCACCGUCUUCGGCACCAACACAGAAGUCGAGGACUUCCGCCGGGUCUACUUGUGGCGACAUCACACUGAAGAGCAUCGCCGAGCAAGUAAUGAACUACAAGCUCUCUUACAGGGCGGUGGGCGUGCUGCUGUUCCUCACGCUGCUAUGCGGCCUGCGGGACCAGUCCAACCUCCUGACGUGGCUGAUUGCGAAACAGUAGCAUUGCGCCCGCAUCCGCAGGUGAGUGCACAAACGCACCGCGUCUUUCAGCUGCGCUACCCAUGUGUGGACAUGGCGGCGAUUCGUGUCUUUGUGUGGCCUUCGCGCGCACUCGCUCUUCCUCUCUUCUCCCUCUUACGCUGUUAGCACUUCCUAUCCUUGGUGCGCUCUGGCGUUGUCUCCUUGUCGAACGCCCGGGGCCGACUCUUUUCCGUUCUUUUCAUCGCUUCUCGACGCCCCGACUUGUUGUUGUUUUCGUUGCCACGUGUUGCUCUGUCUUGCUCCGCCACCCCCUCCCCCUCUCCUCAUUGGGCCCCACGCAUCCCUCGUGCGCACCGGCGUCGUCGCUGCUGGCUGCUGUUGCUGCUGCUGCUGCAUUUGGGCACAAAUGUUGUGCUCGCAGAGGGGAUACUACCGCUCAAGCGAAGAGUCGGGAUUCGAGGAGGGAGUGGGAACGGGAGUGCGGAGACUGUCGAGUAGAGAAUAAGCGAUCGUGACGUCGGGGUGUGAGAGGUGUAAGCGUGAGGGUGGGGAGGGUGGGGGCCAUGCAACAAUGCCAGUGCAAGAGGGGUAUACCAAUAUCGUGUUGGAUUUUCCCUCUUGUUUUUCUUUUUUGUUUUGCUUCGGCGCCUCGUUCGCGUCGGCGUUUUGUGUUUCCGCGGACGUCGGUGCACAGCGGCAGGUGUGCUCCACUUAGUCAGUCUCUACAUCUGCUGUGUGCACUGUGCGACGAGGAAGCACACAUGACGACCUCCUCCUUCCCCCCUUCCCAAAGAAAAAAAGAAAAAGGGACAAGAAGAGGCCAUGUCACUGGGCGGUCGCAAGUGUGCGCUAGCGGCAAGCCGUAUGUCGUCUUCUCUUCAGUUGCCGAGCUAGUACAGACUCGUCUGCCCUCAGCGCAACCCACCCACCCCCCCCUCAGCUGGCUCUGGCUCGGCAAAGAUGGCACCAGAGGAGGAGGUAGAUGGGGUGUUUCGUUAGUGGUACCAUCUACCUAGAUGCACCUGACCCAUCGUGAUAACGGUGAUGGUGGUGCUUUUUCGGGCAGCAGUGCAAGGAGAGACUGACCGGACGUACUCGUGAGGCUAUACAGGCUACUUGUCCGUGCCCUUCUCCAUUUUUAUCAUUUACGCUCGCUUGGUGCGAUCCUCCCGUUCUUUGUUUGUUUUCCCCUGUUGUGCUUCUCUCUCCGCGGCCCGCCCCCGUCCCUCCUUCCCCUCCCUUCUUCGUCUUCUCACAGUCUUCCGCAUUUAAUUUUCGUGAGCGCCUAGUUUUCCUUCUUGCUCAUCUCCACCUCUUUGCUCUUCCUCUCCCCGUGCCUCUCUCCUCUCCCAUACGCAUACACACGCCUGCCUCGAUGCCAGCGCCUCGCGGCUGUCAGUUUGUAUGGCUUACUUUCUUCGUUGCACUCAUCAAAACUUCGAAGAAACACAAAAGGAGUCGCGGGAGACGCGCAGCGGAAGGAACACUGCUUCACCUUGCUCCUUCUCUGUUUUCCGCCACUGUGUCUUUCCUCAUUUCCCCGCGUCUGUGUUUCUUUUUUGCUCUCCCUGGUGAUGGGGGCACACACCUCCGUGCGUGGCGUCUCACGGUCCCGUACCUCCCCCUCCCCCACUCUGUGGCGAAAGUCAGGCAGCCCCCCACCCCUACCCCUGCCAGUGCCGAGCCGCUUCCGGUGGUGACAGGGUCAGGUGCCUACCCCACAGGGGAGGCCAGCGCGACUCCUGUCCGCAGCCAGGCCCUGGACGGCGUGCUGCUGGAGCGGCCGGCGACUGUGAAGGCGCUUGUGCCGUCCGCGCGAUGGGCCGAGCGUCAGCGCGGCUCGCGCGCACGCCACCCGGUGCUCGCUGCCUGCUGGCGGGGAGCCUUUAUGCGACCCCGAGGGGGUGCACCCGGUGGCGGCGGGCGGGGCGCGGGUGGUGUGCCGACGUUGAGGCGGAGGCCGCGCCCCGGCGACUGUGGCGGCGCAUUGCUGGGAGGCGUGUGUGUCCCGCUGCUUCGCGCCGCGCGAUGACGGUUCUGUGUGGCCGGGCCGGGGGCCAGAGUGGUGGUGGUGGGGGUGGCUGGGCUCAUGCUCCAUGGCGGCGAAUGACCGCGUUGAAGCAG